RNAcentral lists this ribosomal RNA (433 nucleotides) under uncultured bacterium. RNAcentral describes it as "partial 16S ribosomal RNA". It matches the Rfam family "Bacterial small subunit ribosomal RNA", at positions 29 to 507 of the family's 1533-position model. The record is from RNAcentral.
AACGAACGCUGGCGGCAUGCCUAACACAUGCAAGUCGAACGAGACCUUCGGGUCUUGUGGCGCACGGGUGCGUCACGCGUGGGAACCUGCCCUUAGGUUCGGAAUAACUCCCCGACAGGGGUGCUAAUACCGGAUAAUGUCUUCGGACCAAAGAUUUAUCGCCUUUGGAUGGGCCCGCGUUGGAUUAGCUAGUUGGUAGGGUAAAAGCCUACCACGGCGACGAUCCAUAGCUGGUCUGAGAGAAUGAUCAGCCACACUGGGACUGAGACACGGCCCAGACUCCUACGGGAGGCGGGAGUGGGGAAUAGUGGACAAUGGGCGAAAGCCUGAUCCAGCAAUGCCGCGUGAGUGAUGAAGGCCUUAGGGUUGUAAAGCUCUUUUAACCGGGAUGAUAAUGACAGUACCGGGAGAAUAAGCCCCGGCUAACUCCGUG